AGGAGAAGAAUAAGAAGGUCUUAGGUAUGGUUUUCUUAUGGUUCCUUAUUAUCUUAAGUCUAAGGUUUCUCUUCCCCAUCAUCUUAAGUUUUUCUAUGUUCUUUUUCUUCAUGGGUUUCAAAAACCCUAGGGUAUUCAAGGGUGAUUAUCAUUUGGGUGUUGAUCAAAUUGUGUUCUUGAUUUUACAAUCAAGAGAGGCUCGUUGUGAAGUUGUCGUUUACUUAGCUUGGACCUGAGCAUGAUGAACGCGACACAUCAAAAAGGGGUUACUAAGGAUAUGAAGACGUAACCCGAGUUACUAAUGAUAUGAAGACAUAACUCCAAGGGCGGACGCGCCGAGCUUAUUCAAGGACCAAAGAUCCUGUUUACCUCAAUGGGUGACAUGGACAAGUUAGCGGGCCAUGUUCACAUGGAAAAUGUUUAUGAUGAUAUUAUGAUGUUUAUGUUAUGAUGAUGUUAUGAUGAUGAUGUUAAUGUUAACGUGAUUAUGUUUAUGUUUAUGAUAUUGACGCCAUUAUGACAAUGAUGCUAUGAUGUAUAAAGAUGGAUGAAUGUGUUUGUGAUUUUUUGUAUCUUACUUGUUUGUUGUUUGUACUUCCUUACUGGGCUUUUAGCUCACCCCCUUACUUUCCCUUCCAGGUAGCAAAUAUGUUUCUAUAUGGCACGCGUGGUGAUGUGGGGAGUUCUGUCGUCCUAGUGUGUAUGGCGUGGGGGCAUCAUAUGGACGAGAAACGAUAAGUUUUAAAUGCCAUUUUCUUUUAAUAAUGUUAUGUUUAAUGGGAAUUUUUAAAUUUAUCAGUGGGACUUGAACUUUUGGUUGUUUUUAGAACUUUGCAUGAAAACUUAUAUUUUCUUUUUAAACUAUUGGGCCCGACUUGCAUGUUUUAGCAAGACCCCACUUAAAUCUUUAUAAUAAGUGACUUUUUCUCUUAUAAACCAAUGAAUAUGUGAAUGUUUUACAAAGCACUAGAUUAGGGUGUUUUACAAAUGGUAUCAGAGACGGUCGUCCAUGUUUCCAAAGACCCUCCCCAUACACGCUAAAGACAGGAAAAUCUCACGUCAUUGCGUCGUAAGUAUUUGU
Long non-coding RNA from Humulus lupulus (European hop), 1081 nucleotides. RefSeq lists it as uncharacterized. The transcript is spliced from 3 exons. NCBI's taxonomy places the organism in Eukaryota, Viridiplantae, Streptophyta, Magnoliopsida, Rosales, Cannabaceae. The record is from RefSeq and is a predicted model, not a curated record.